RNAcentral lists this ribosomal RNA (440 nucleotides) under uncultured bacterium. RNAcentral describes it as "bacterial SSU rRNA". It matches the Rfam family "Bacterial small subunit ribosomal RNA", at positions 338 to 770 of the family's 1533-position model. The record is from RNAcentral.
CCUACGGGUGGCAGCAGUGGGGAAUAUUGCACAAUGGGCGAAAGCCUGAUGCAGCCAUGCCGCGUGUAUGAAGAAGGCCUUCGGGUUGUAAAGUACUUUCAGUUGUGAGGAAGGGUGUGUAGUUAAUAGCUGCGCAUCUUGACGUUAGCAACAGAAGAAGCACCGGCUAACUCCGUGCCAGCAGCCGCGGUAAUACGGAGGGUGCGAGCGUUAAUCGGAAUUACUGGGCGUAAAGCGCAUGCAGGUGGUUCAUUAAGUCAGAUGUGAAAGCCCCGGGCUCAACCUGGGAACUGCAGUUAGAACUGUCUGACUAGAGUACAGUAGAGGGUGGCGGAAUUUCCUGUGUAGCGGUGAAAUGCGUAGAUAUAGGAAGGAACAUCAGUGGCGAAGGCGGCCACCUGGACAGAUACUGACACUCAGAUGCGAAAGCGUGGGGAGCA